UCCUUGAAAGGAAGUGGCUGUUCACACCGUGCGCGCAACGUGCCCGUGUGCGUCUUUCUUUCGUAUUGUCUUUCUAUGUAAAUAUGCGCUAAACGGAAGCCACGUCCAGCUGUUUUUUCACUGUCGCACGAAGGUUCAGGUUGCCCCAAAGAACACGCAUGAAGCUGGUCCAAGUAGUCAACAGAAGCAUCAACGUAAUAUACUUGAUGUAGACACAAUGCGAGCACUACUUGAAAGCAAAGGUCUGAGUAUAUAUAAGGAUUAUGAAGCUUCAGGAAUGCUUUCAGAGACAUCAAGAAAGCUCCUUGUGAAGAUAGGAGUCAGUGCGUUGGUGGAACAAAGUGGAUUUUACCCUUCUAAUGAAGAGAAACGGAUGUUGGCAGAAAGUGUGGUAACACUGUUUCCUUCUCUGAAGAUCAAGAUGGGAGAAGAGAAUGAAGGAUUGAACAUUUCUAUGACCCAAUUUCCCACAGUGGAUUUAUUGAGAUGAGACUUCGGAAUCUACGGAGGACACUUCAUGAUGAUCAGCGUCGCUACCAGCUCAAACGUAGUCGAAUCAGUGAUUCCUCUGGAGUGUCUAUCACUUUGGAAAUAACUGCUGAAGGGGAGGAGGAGUCCCUCUUGGGAGUGGACGACUGUGAUCAAAAGGAUGAAACCAUCUCCAGAAAACCUCAAUACCAUCAAAUCUGGCAUGGAGAAAACGUACAAUAAUCGCAGGUUAUGGGUCGCAAACAUGUCCCCAACAGUGAAAACAAACUGGUUGUGUACUUGCUUUAAACUGUGACUUAAGAGAAGAGCGUCUCUUUGGUGAAGUUUUACACAUAGUUCCACAAUUUGAAAAAGAAAUUGUUUUAGUUUUUCUUAGAGUUUUAACACAAAUAUACUUUCACCCACACUUGUAUGCUUACCCUGUCCAAAGAACAAAUGAGUACAAAGUGAUUAAUUUGAGCAAUGCUGCUGAUGUAAAACCUCUUCACAUGAUUUCCUACAAAGAAAACCUUUUUGUAAAUCCAAGAUAUAAAAUUGUUUAAAAAUGUCUUUAUGAAAAUCAAAUGACAUGUGAAUGUUGACUUUGUGAAAUGUUGAAUGUUGUCUUUACUGAUUGAUGAGUACAGUCAAAUUAUUAAGUCUCAUUUACUACAAUUUAAAGCUUCUAGUAUUAUUUAUUUUUUAUAUUAAGUAUUUUUUGUUCAGUCUAAUUUUGUAAGUUGGUAUAUAGAAUUAUAUUCAGUACUCGUUAGCAGCAGAACUAAUAUGAAUAAGAAUGAAGUGACCUCAGUUAUAUUGAUUUGCGAGCGGUGUGAUUUUCUGCAUCUGUUUAGAUGUACAUGUAUAAAUGAUUUUCCCUAACAUGACAUUGACAUUAAAGAGGUUAUACUUCCAGUUUAUCUAUAUUACUGACAAAUGUUUUCUGAAUGUGCUGCUCUUUACAUUGUGUGAACAAAAUGUGAGUGGUGCUUGUUUUGUGAAAAUGUAGCAGUUAAGUUUUUAAUAAAUUAUUUUUUUU
Long non-coding RNA from Xyrauchen texanus (razorback sucker), 1507 nucleotides. RefSeq lists it as uncharacterized. The record is from RefSeq and is a predicted model, not a curated record. The transcript is spliced from 5 exons. Lineage: Eukaryota; Metazoa; Chordata; Actinopteri; Cypriniformes; Catostomidae.